GACGAACGCUGGCGGCGCGCCUAACACAUGCAAGUCGAACGAGCGAGAGAGAGCUUGCUUUCUCAAGCGAGUGGCGAACGGGUGAGUAACGCGUGAGGAACCUGCCUCAAAGAGGGGGACAACAGUUGGAAACGACUGCUAAUACCGCAUAAGCCCACGGCUCGGCAUCGAGCAGAGGGAAAAGGAGCAAUCCGCUUUGAGAUGGCCUCGCGUCCGAUUAGCUAGUUGGUGAGGUAACGGCCCACCAAGGCGACGAUCGGUAGCCGGACUGAGAGGUUGAACGGCCACAUUGGGACUGAGACACGGCCCAGACUCCUACGGGAGGCAGCAGUGGGGAAUAUUGCACAAUGGGGGAAACCCUGAUGCAGCGACGCCGCGUGGAGGAAGAAGGUCUUCGGAUUGUAAACUCCUGUUGUUGAGGAAGAUAAUGACGGUACU
Molecule: ribosomal RNA, 438 nt
Filed under: uncultured bacterium
Lineage: Bacteria
Description: bacterial SSU rRNA
Rfam family: Bacterial small subunit ribosomal RNA
Source: RNAcentral